This 490-nucleotide ribosomal RNA is filed under the name uncultured bacterium. RNAcentral's name for it is "partial 16S ribosomal RNA". It matches the Rfam family "Bacterial small subunit ribosomal RNA", at positions 30 to 507 of the family's 1533-position model. The record is from RNAcentral.
AUUGAACGCUGGCGGCAGGCCUAACACAUGCAAGUCGAACGGUAACAGGAAGCAGCUUGCUGCUUUGCUGACGAGUGGCGGACGGGUGUGUAAUGUCUGGGAAACUGCCCGAUGGAGGGGGAUAACUACUGGAAACGGUAGCUAAUACCGCAUAACGUCGCAAGACCAAAGAGGGGGACCUUAGGGCCUCUUGCCAUCGGCUGUGCCCAGAUGGGAUUAGCUAGUAGGUGGGGUAACGGCUCACCUAGGCGACGAUCCCUAGCUGGUCUGAGAGGAUGACCAGCCACACUGGAACUGAGGCACGGUCCAGACUCCUACGGGAGGCAGCAGUGGGGAAUAUUGCACAAUGGGCGCAAGCCUGAUGCAGCCAUGCCGCGUGUAUGAAGAAGGCCUUCGGGUUGUAAAGUACUUUCAGCGGGGAGGAAGGGAGUAAAGUUAAUACCUUUGCUCAUUGACGUUACCCGCAGAAGAAGCACCGGCUAACUCCGUG